GAAGGGGUGAGUGGAACAGUUCUCUUCCUUUUCUAUCUUUGUUUCUUUAAGAAGACAUAGUAGUUAUACAGGGGAGAGCUGAGGAGAAGGGCCUUAUAAGGAAACUAAAUAGUUUCUUCAGAACAUGAGUAGAAGGAGUGCCUAAUAAUGUAUUUGCCAGAAAUGUACUCUGUGUCAAGACUCGUUUUGGUAAACUUGUCUCUUUUCAUUGGUUCCGGGAUCUCAUAUGCUGUAAUGCAGCUUUUACCACCAUGAAACAUUCAGGGGCUGCCUCGUUUUGUCGUGAGAAGGCAGUAUUGCUUUCUGAGUUAUUGCCCUGGCAGCUCUGUAAAUUAGACCAUGCUGUCACCAUGCCCUCUCUGAAGGGCACAUUGUACCCAAAUGACUGCAUUUAGGAUUGACUCUUGCCACUCCCUGCUGCAUGACACUUCUCUCUGCUUGUAUCUGUGUCCAGUUUUUUAUGUUCUUAAGUGUGGGCCACCCACACAUUGCCACCCAGGUUCCUCAGCCAGAGUAACUUGGUAAGGCUUCUGAUCCAAUAAUUUUCCAUUGGAUCAGAACCUACCUAACUCUAGAGUUCCCCUUCCAUUUCAAACCUUAAAUGUUGUCUGACUCCCCAAACUCCCCCUCCUCCUUUAUUUUUCUCUCCUGCUUCUGCCAGACUCCUUGUUUCUUGAAGGCCUCCCUUGGCUCUCUCCACCUUCUUUUUUAAUGCUCAGAGUUCAUCAUGGCCAGUCCUUCUUUAGCUUUUUUCUUCUCGUCUUUUAGGUUUUCUUUCUCAAGAUUCUUCUUCCAUAUGGCAUGUCAUUUCCUGGACUGUUCUUGAAGAAUGGAAAAACUGCUUUGUUUAGUGUCUGCUU
RNAcentral lists this long non-coding RNA (860 nucleotides) under Marmota monax (woodchuck). The record is from RNAcentral. Lineage: Eukaryota; Metazoa; Chordata; Mammalia; Rodentia; Sciuridae.